Molecule: transfer RNA, 69 nt
Filed under: Myotis bocagii (rufous Myotis)
Lineage: Eukaryota; Metazoa; Chordata; Mammalia; Chiroptera; Vespertilionidae
Description: tRNA-Val
Rfam family: tRNA
About the family: Transfer RNA (tRNA) molecules are approximately 80 nucleotides in length. Their secondary structure includes four short double-helical elements and three loops (D, anti-codon, and T loops). Further hydrogen bonds mediate the characteristic L-shaped molecular structure. tRNAs have two regions of fundamental functional importance: the anti-codon, which is responsible for specific mRNA codon recognition, and the 3' end, to which the tRNAs corresponding amino acid is attached (by aminoacyl-tRNA synthetases). tRNAs cope with the degeneracy of the genetic code in two manners: having more than one tRNA (with a specific anti-codon) for a particular amino acid; and 'wobble' base-pairing, i.e. permitting non-standard base-pairing at the 3rd anti-codon position.
Source: RNAcentral
ACAAAGUGUAGCUUAAACUAAAGCGCCUAGUUUACACCUAGAAGAUUUCAUAAAAACUGACCACUUUGA